UGUGAAGCGAUCUCAUACUAAACGAAACGACUUUCACUUUCCAUAAAAAAAAUCAAAGAAAGUCAACCUAUUCCUUUUAGUCCGAUUCGAUUCGCUUGCCUCGAAGACUGGAAUUAGGCCCCUACUGAUGAUAGGAUUGAUUCGAAGCAAAGUCAAUGGUCCCUUCUCCGCUACGGGAGAUGCUAGAAGAAGAUAAGCACUCCGCUAUAUCUUUGAUAAAUAGGGUAAAGGAGUAACCUUA
RNAcentral lists this long non-coding RNA (241 nucleotides) under Nicotiana benthamiana. Its description in RNAcentral is "long non-coding RNA (NBEN_LNC003725)". The record is from RNAcentral. Lineage: Eukaryota; Viridiplantae; Streptophyta; Magnoliopsida; Solanales; Solanaceae.